CUUUGAUUGGGUCAUGUUUCCCUGUUUCUUCAUUUGCCUUGUUAUUUUUUGUUGUGACUUUUGCAUUUGAAAGAACAGCCACCUCUGUGUGUCUUUACAGACUGGCUUUGUGCUGGGGAAGAUCUUCACCAGUCAUCCCGUCUGGAGAUUCUGGGGACAUCUCAAACUUUUUAUGGGAACGUGUCGUCUUGUGUGUGUGAGCUCCCCGACCUCUACCCCAGGCUUUACAGCUUCUUUUUCAGGAGUCGCUUGACCAUUCUGAAAGGCACUGCUUCUCCAACUGGACCCAUUGGGGUCCUCCAAGCAUUGAUUCCACUGACCUGUCUCUUGUUGGAUUCAUCAGGACAGUCUAUAGCUUUAUCAAUCACAAUUCUUUGACUUGUGUAUAGUGUUUGAUGAUUUUUAGAGCAUCCUUCCACACUUAGUGGUUGUGCAACCAUCACCACACUCUAAUUUCAGAACAUUUUCAUCUCCCCUGAAGGAACCCUGCGCCUCUCCACUCCCCUGCAACCACUGGGCUACUUCCUGUCUCUCUAGUUUGGCCUUUUCUGGACAUUUGAAAUAAUAAACUCAUAUAAUAUGUAGUCUUUUUGUGAAUGCUGUCUUCCAUUUAGCAUAGUGUUUUCCAGACUCAUCCAUGCUGGAGCAC
Molecule: long non-coding RNA, 649 nt
Filed under: Equus caballus (horse)
Lineage: Eukaryota; Metazoa; Chordata; Mammalia; Perissodactyla; Equidae
Description: lncRNA (ENSECAG00000058855.1)
Source: RNAcentral